This 905-nucleotide ribosomal RNA is filed under the name Escherichia coli. RNAcentral's name for it is "partial 23S ribosomal RNA". It matches the Rfam family "Bacterial large subunit ribosomal RNA", at positions 419 to 1324 of the family's 2925-position model. The record is from RNAcentral. Lineage: Bacteria; Pseudomonadati; Pseudomonadota; Gammaproteobacteria; Enterobacterales; Enterobacteriaceae.
GGGACACGUGGUAUCCUGUCUGAAUAUGGGGGGACCAUCCUCCAAGGCUAAAUACUCCUGACUGACCGAUAGUGAACCAGUACCGUGAGGGAAAGGCGAAAAGAACCCCGGCGAGGGGAGUGAAAAAGAACCUGAAACCGUGUACGUACAAGCAGUGGGAGCACGCUUAGGCGUGUGACUGCGUACCUUUUGUAUAAUGGGUCAGCGACUUAUAUUCUGUAGCAAGGUUAACCGAAUAGGGGAGCCGAAGGGAAACCGAGUCUUAACUGGGCGUUAAGUUGCAGGGUAUAGACCCGAAACCCGGUGAUCUAGCCAUGGGCAGGUUGAAGGUUGGGUAACACUAACUGGAGGACCGAACCGACUAAUGUUGAAAAAUUAGCGGAUGACUUGUGGCUGGGGGUGAAAGGCCAAUCAAACCGGGAGAUAGCUGGUUCUCCCCGAAAGCUAUUUAGGUAGCGCCUCGUGAAUUCAUCUCCGGGGGUAGAGCACUGUUUCGGCAAGGGGGUCAUCCCGACUUACCAACCCGAUGCAAACUGCGAAUACCGGAGAAUGUUAUCACGGGAGACACACGGCGGGUGCUAACGUCCGUCGUGAAGAGGGAAACAACCCAGACCGCCAGCUAAGGUCCCAAAGUCAUGGUUAAGUGGGAAACGAUGUGGGAAGGCCCAGACAGCCAGGAUGUUGGCUUAGAAGCAGCCAUCAUUUAAAGAAAGCGUAAUAGCUCACUGGUCGAGUCGGCCUGCGCGGAAGAUGUAACGGGGCUAAACCAUGCACCGAAGCUGCGGCAGCGACACUAUGUGUUGUUGGGUAGGGGAGCGUUCUGUAAGCCUGUGAAGGUGUACUGUGAGGUAUGCUGGAGGUAUCAGAAGUGCGAAUGCUGACAUAAGUAACGAUAAAGCGGGUGA